AUUGAACGCUGGCGGCAUGCCUUACACAUGCAAGUCGAACGGCAGCACGGGUGCUUGCACCUGGUGGCGAGUGGCGAACGGGUGAGUAAUACAUCGGAACAUGUCCUGUAGUGGGGGAUAGCCCGGCGAAAGCCGGAUUAAUACCGCAUACGAUCUACGGAUGAAAGCGGGGGACCUUCGGGCCUCGCGCUAUAGGGUUGGCCGAUGGCUGAUUAGCUAGUUGGUGGGGUAAAGGCCUACCAAGGCGACGAUCAGUAGCCGGUCUGAGAGGACGACCAGCCACACUGGGACUGAGACACGGCCCAGACUCCUACGGGAGGCAGCAGUGGGGAAUUUUGGACAAUGGGCGAAAGCCUGAUCCAGCAAUGCCGCGUGUGUGAAGAAGGCCUUCGGGUUGUAAAGCACUUUUGUCCGGAAAGAAAUCCUUGGCCCUAAUACGGUCGGGGGAUGACGGUACCGGAAGAAUAAGCACCGGCUAACUACGU
RNAcentral lists this ribosomal RNA (485 nucleotides) under uncultured bacterium. RNAcentral's name for it is "partial 16S ribosomal RNA". It matches the Rfam family "Bacterial small subunit ribosomal RNA", at positions 30 to 506 of the family's 1533-position model. The record is from RNAcentral.